This is a long non-coding RNA of Cavia porcellus (domestic guinea pig), 884 nucleotides long. RefSeq lists it as uncharacterized. The record is from RefSeq and is a predicted model, not a curated record. NCBI's taxonomy places the organism in Eukaryota, Metazoa, Chordata, Mammalia, Rodentia, Caviidae. The transcript is spliced from 3 exons.
CAGACUGAUACGGUACGUAGUGACUUGGUACAAUCAGCGCUGGAGAAACAACUGCCUUUCCUUCCACAGAAGAUAUGGAGUUAUUGCAUUUGUUUGGGUCAAUAACUGAAGAAACAGCUGUUAUUAAGUACCAGGCCAAAUAUCCAUUAUAAACAAGAUCUAUAAUCCCACAGUGAGUAGAACACUGGACAACAGCUCAGCAGGACAGGUCUGCUCCUGAAUGAAUAGGACUGCACAGCCCUGGAGCGUAGAAAGCAACUCCCAGAGAUGGGGUCUGCGAUCCUGAUAGAGACCCUAGGGUGACGGCACUGCACAAUCCCUGAACCCAAUUCCAGGAAACUGGCACUGUGCACCUCUCACUUCUGUGCCUUUUGCUCUUCCAGUUUGAGCCUUCCACUGAGGGCCCUUUGAUAGUAAUGAAAUGAGCUCUGGUUUAUUAAAGAACCACCCAGUUAGCCCACUAAGGCCUUUCAUGAACACAAAAAGGAUGAAAGUUUUCCUUCCAACACUUUUAAACAUUGCUCAUGGAGAAUACUUUUCUCCUCUCAUUCCUUUCCAGAGGGACCCGAGCCCAGACAUGUAUUGUUCCUGUGUCUGGGAGACAUUCUCAGAAGCAGGAAUUCCUGUAGAUCCAUGUCCUAAAGGACUCCUACGAAAUGAUGCAACUCAGACAAUAAGAGUGAGCCUGAGGGGAGCCCUUCAUUCUUAGCAGAGACAGUGCAGACCAGUCUCAUUCUUUUCUUGUGUGUUUUAAUCUAGCUUUGAUUAUCUAACCCUUUCGUCUCAUUUUUUCCCAUUAGGUCCCUUCAUGCUCUUUUGUUUGUUUUUAUAGGCUCCUGCUUUCUUCUAUUAUACUGUUGUCCCAAUAAAAUGUUUUACCUCUC